Molecule: ribosomal RNA, 433 nt
Filed under: uncultured bacterium
Lineage: Bacteria
Description: partial 16S ribosomal RNA
Rfam family: Bacterial small subunit ribosomal RNA
Source: RNAcentral
AACGAACGCUGGCGGCAUGCCUAACACAUGCAAGUCGAACGAGACCUUCGGGUCUAGUGGCGCACGGGUGCGUAACGCGUGGGAACCUGCCCUUAGGUUCGGAAUAACUCCCCGAAAGGGGUGCUAAUACCGGAUAAUGUCUUCGGACCAAAGAUUUAUCGCCUUUGGGUGGGCCCGCGUUGGAUUAGCCAGUUGGUAGGGUAAAAGCCUACCAAGGCGUCGAUCCAUAGCUGGUCUGAGAGGAUGAUCAGCCACGCUGGGGCUGAGGCACGGCCCAGACUCGGACGGGAGGGAGCAGUGGGGAAUAUUGGGGGAGGGGGGAAGGCCUGAUCAAGCAAUGCGGGGGGAGUGGGGAAGGGGGUAGGGUUGUAAAGCUCUUUUAGCCGGGAUGAUAAUGACAGUACCGGGAGAAUAAGCACCGGCUAACUCCGUG